CUUGUUCCUUUUGAUACGGCAAUAAGUAGAUCCGAUGGAAAAAGAAAAGACAUAUCCAAAAGAUUAAAGAACAUAGAAACCAGAGGGGAAAAUUUUUCAAUGUUUGGCUACAACUUCUCUAUGAUUCUCCGUAUCCAAAAAGUCUCUCUUUUUCUCCUCCCAACAAACAAAAGAGAGGUAUUCCACUUCCCUAAGACUGGGUUGACGCAAACAUGUGACAGAAAAAAUGUUUUAUGAUUUGAAAACCGGAACAUGUGAAGGAAACAUCUUAAGUCUUCAAUGUGAAAAGAGUGAAAGUGGUUGUGGGUUGGAUUGCAGGGGCGUGAAGCAGAGAAGAGGAAAAGAAUUAUAAGGCUUAAACAGAC
Molecule: long non-coding RNA, 365 nt
Filed under: Phaseolus vulgaris (common bean)
Lineage: Eukaryota; Viridiplantae; Streptophyta; Magnoliopsida; Fabales; Fabaceae
Description: long non-coding RNA (PVUL_LNC004044)
Source: RNAcentral